GUGCUGCUCUGGCAGAGACUUGAUCAGAAAGGUCCUGUCUCAGGGUGAGGUUCCUCCCUAUACUCAGGAGGUGCUGACCCCUGCUACUUUCCCCAGUUCACGAAACUCAGUUGCCUAAUUUGGAGUAGUGGGAGGCUGUGUUCACCCU
This 148-nucleotide small nuclear RNA is filed under the name Mesocricetus auratus (golden hamster). RNAcentral describes it as "U1 spliceosomal RNA (ENSMAUG00000007982.1)". Lineage: Eukaryota; Metazoa; Chordata; Mammalia; Rodentia; Cricetidae. The record is from RNAcentral.